Molecule: ribosomal RNA, 635 nt
Filed under: uncultured bacterium
Lineage: Bacteria
Description: bacterial SSU rRNA
Rfam family: Bacterial small subunit ribosomal RNA
Source: RNAcentral
CGAUUCCGGCUACGGAUGGUCAUGCGUCGCAUUAGCUUGUUGGCGGGGUAACGGCCCACCAAGGCGACGAUGCGUAGGGGUUCUGAGAGGAAGGUCCCCCACACUGGUACUGAGACACGGACCAGACUCCUACGGGAGGCAGCAGUGAGGAAUAUUGGUCAAUGGCCGCAGGGCUGAACCAGCCAAGUCGCGUGAGGGAUGACGGUCCUAUGGAUUGUAAACCUCUUUUGUCAGGGAGCAAAGGGCGCCACGUGUGGCGUUUUGCGAGUACCUGAAGAAAAAGCAUCGGCUAACUCCGUGCCAGCAGCCGCGGUAAUACGGAGGAUGCGAGCGUUAUCCGGAUUUAUUGGGUUUAAAGGGUGCGCAGGCGGAAUGUCAAGUCAGCGGUAAAAUUUCGGGGCUCAACCCCGUCGUGCCGUUGAAACUGGCGUUCUUGAGUGAGCGAGAAGUAUGCGGAAUGCGUGGUGUAGCGGUGAAAUGCAUAGAUAUCACGCAGAACUCCGAUUGCGAAGGCAGCAUACCGGCGCUCAACUGACGCUCAUGCACGAAAGCGUGGGUAUCGAACAGGAUUAGAUACCCUGGUAGUCCACGCAGUAAACGAUGAAUACUAACUGUCCGGGCAGAAUGAUGCCUGG